UACGGAGGGUGCGAGCGUUGUUCGGAAUUAUUGGGCGUAAAGCGCGCGUAGGCGGCCGUUUAAGUCUUUUGGUGAAAGGCCGGGGCUCAACCCCGUGCUUGCCGGGGAUACUGGACGGCUGGAGACAGGUAGAGGCGAGUGGAAUUCCGGGUGUAGCGGUGGAAUGCGUAGAGAUCCGGAAGAACACCAGAGGCGAAGGCGGCUCGCUGGACCUGAUCUGACGCUGAGGUGCGAAAGCGUGGGGAGCGAACAGG
This 254-nucleotide unclassified non-coding RNA is filed under the name uncultured Gemmatimonadota bacterium. RNAcentral's name for it is "uncultured Gemmatimonadetes bacterium contains 16S-23S intergenic spacer region". It matches the Rfam family "Bacterial small subunit ribosomal RNA", at positions 524 to 776 of the family's 1533-position model. Lineage: Bacteria; Pseudomonadati; Gemmatimonadota. The record is from RNAcentral.